This 485-nucleotide long non-coding RNA is filed under the name Brassica napus (rape). RNAcentral describes it as "long non-coding RNA (BNAP_LNC005292)". Lineage: Eukaryota; Viridiplantae; Streptophyta; Magnoliopsida; Brassicales; Brassicaceae. The record is from RNAcentral.
UCAAAUGUUGAUAUGGCUAUGCCUUCAUGGAAGGUGGUAAUGCUUGCCCCAAUGUCAAUUCCAAUCGUACAUAAACUAAACCCUAUCAACUAAUCACUAAACCCUACACGGAAAUAUAAACCCUAAUUCAAUGUCAACUCCAAUCUUUCAUAAACUAAACCCUAGCCACUAAUACUAAAUCCUACAUGGAAAUAUAAACCCUAAUCUAAUGCCCCAACUCUAAUGUCAACCCCAAUCUUUCAUAAAUUAAAUCCAAAUUUCGAAAUACAAGUAACAUGCAUUUCCAUUCUACAUGAGCAUAUAAAAUAGAAAAGGUGAAUAUAUAGUUGCUAUCUAAAGAUCAUCUUAAUAUAUUUCUCAAAUGUUGAUAUGGAUAUAUCUUCAUGAAAAAUGGUAAUGUUUGCCCCAAUGUAAUUGUACAUAAACUAAACCAUAUCAACUAAUCCCAGAAAUAUAAACCCUAAUCCAAAGUUAACCCCAAUCUU